GGACUGUAGUCUGCAACCCGACUACACGAAGCCGGAAUCGCUAGUAAUCGCGGAUCAGAAUGCCGCGGUGAAUACGUUCCCGGGUCUUGUACACACCGCCCGUCACACCAUGGGAGUCGGAAAUGCCCGAAGUCAGUGACCCAACCGUAAGGAGGGAGCUGCCGAAGGUGGAGCCGGUAACUGGGGUGAAGUCGUAACAAGGUAGC
Molecule: ribosomal RNA, 206 nt
Filed under: uncultured bacterium
Lineage: Bacteria
Description: partial 16S ribosomal RNA
Rfam family: Bacterial small subunit ribosomal RNA
Source: RNAcentral